Molecule: transfer RNA, 72 nt
Filed under: Ophiacantha linea
Lineage: Eukaryota; Metazoa; Echinodermata; Ophiuroidea; Amphilepidida; Ophiacanthidae
Description: tRNA-Asn
Rfam family: tRNA
About the family: Transfer RNA (tRNA) molecules are approximately 80 nucleotides in length.
Source: RNAcentral
UAAGUUGAAGUUUAAUGUUUGAGCAUCUGGCCGUUAACCAGGGAGAAGUGGGGUUAGAACCUGCCAACUUAA